CUCUAAUAUUACUUUCGAUGUUCAAAUUUAAGGAUUUGUUCCAAUAAGGUAUUAGAUAUUAAAGAGGUUUAUUCCUUCCGUAAAAGGUAAAAAUAGAUUAGAUUUUAGUAUUAACCUGGUAAGAUAUGAAAGG
This 133-nucleotide non-coding RNA is filed under the name pig gut metagenome. Its description in RNAcentral is "RT-14 RNA". It matches the Rfam family "RT-14 RNA". From Rfam's summary of the family: Cloacimonetes, Firmicutes, Proteobacteria. Nearby to self-splicing intron genes The record is from RNAcentral.